Molecule: long non-coding RNA, 1712 nt
Organism: Lycium barbarum (goji berry)
Lineage: Eukaryota; Viridiplantae; Streptophyta; Magnoliopsida; Solanales; Solanaceae
Exons: 2
Source: RefSeq, a predicted model, not a curated record
UCCACGCUCAAUAAUUGAUGUUUGUCCACCCCCCACACCCCCCAACCCACCAAAACAAAAAAAAAAAAAACAGGAUAUGCAUAUUACUUUUGAUCGUAAUCUGCAUAAAACAAUAAUUUCCAAUUUGGACUAAUAUUAACUGGAUUUGUAUUCAUUGUUUGUACACAUCCCCCAGAAAUUAAUUGGUUUGGAAGCAUCUUUCUAUACAAUCAUUUGACUUUGUAUUAUUCCAUCAGAAUAAUGAUCAGACAUUUUACAUUGUGCCUCACAUAACAAGCACAAUGUGUUCUUCUAAUUUUUUCUCCAUUUGCUCUUCUCAGUGUCAUUUGCCGUUUGUGUUUUCUGUUGUUUUUAUUCAUCCUCUGCCUUUACGAACACCCAUAUGCUGCCUCUGAUUGUUUUUUAUUCUUUUUCCCUUCUUUAGACUAUCAAUGCAUAUAAACACUAUUUGUUUUGUUUUUUGGUUCUUGUCUUCGCUCUGCAACUCUUGCUGAUGAGUUUGAACUUCUAUUUUCUUUUGACCUUCUUCUUGGCCUAUCUUGAUUCAUGGAUAUGCAUGGUGUUAUGGCUGACCUUUUUUUUUUUCGGUGAAUUUCGUUAUACAAUGUGCCAGGUGUUUUGAGGACAUUAGUAAUGAAGCACAAAAGAUCAAACUGAAUUGCAUUAGACUUUUAUGUUUUUGGUGUAAGCAGAUAUAUCCAGAAGAUACUGAGUCCAUUAUGGAUAUUCUAGGAUCUUGUUAGAAUGUUGGAUCAGUUUUUCUUUUGCCUAAAGUAAAUAUGGUUUUCAGCACAACCUAUGUGCUGGUUUAGUCUAUACAUACUACUGUUACCUUCACACACAAAAAAAAAUUGCCAGGUGUUUGGAAAAAAUGUCACUGUAAGAAAUUCGGACCUUGUUCGCACUGUUGAGGAGUGGAAAUCUCAGUUUUAUCUACCUUUAAGUUCUUACUGAUUUUCACUUUCAAAUUGCUUUAGUUGUUUCGUUGAGAAAAUUCAUGUCACGCCUCAAUUUCUACUUCACUAGUUUUGGACACACGUGCAAGGACACGGGCGUUGCACGUGUGUCCCAUGGAAGUAGUAUAAACGAUAUAAAUUAUAUUAAAGUUGCAGCGAAAUGAGUUAUAACAAAAAAAAAAAAAAAUUAAGUGAAAAAGUAAGUUAAUUGGGCGGUGUUAGAGCUUUUCAUUUGAAGUUUUCGGAUUCAUUGGCAUUGCCUGAGUAUGAGGCUUUGCCUGAUCAAAGAGAAAAUACCGAGAAGAAAAAGUAGAGAAAGUGAAAUCUUGGCUCUUCAAAAGAUUUUUCCAGCUAGAUAUCAGCGGGCAGAGCUACAUCGUAUGAAGGGAAAAGGAAAAGGGAUGUUAUGCAACUGAUGGGUUUGAGCCAUCUACCUCAACUGUAGAAGGCAAGGAGCUCACCAAAUUAGCCACCCUCAAUGCCAUGAAGGGAAUUCAAUUGAAUCCCCUUAGUCGGAAAAUUAUAUUGUGUAAAAGGAUAGAAAGAACCGGAGUUCUUUAUCUAUAUGUUGAAUCCCCUUGUAUACGGAAAACUUUAGGGUAGUGGCAUAGGUGGUUCAAAAAUUGCUUUAGGUCGCAGGUUUGAAUCCUUGUUAUGGAAUUCUUGUGUUCUUUUUUUAGUCCCUUCGUUAGAAUUUCUGUUUUCGCCAUUGUAUGUGACAUAAACAAGUAAUGAGAGUAUGAUUAGUUCGAUGUA